UACGGAGGGUGCAAGCGUUAUCCGGAUUCACUGGGUUUAAAGGGUGCGUAGGUGGGUUGGUAAGUCAGUGGUGAAAUCUCCAGGCUUAACUUGGAAACUGCCAUUGAUACUAUCACUCUUGAAUACCGUGGAGGUCAGCGGAAUAUGUCAUGUAGCGGUGAAAUGCGUAGAGAUCGGGAGGAACACCAGAGGCGAAGGCGGCGACCUGGACAGGUACUGACACUCAACUACGAAAGCGUGGGGAGCAAACAGG
This 253-nucleotide ribosomal RNA is filed under the name uncultured bacterium. RNAcentral describes it as "partial 16S ribosomal RNA". It matches the Rfam family "Bacterial small subunit ribosomal RNA", at positions 524 to 776 of the family's 1533-position model. The record is from RNAcentral.